This 534-nucleotide ribosomal RNA is filed under the name uncultured eukaryote. RNAcentral's name for it is "bacterial SSU rRNA". It matches the Rfam family "Eukaryotic small subunit ribosomal RNA", at positions 21 to 550 of the family's 1831-position model. The record is from RNAcentral.
UAGUCAUAUGCUUGUCUCAAAGACUAAGCCAUGCAUGUCUAAGUAUAAACACAUUUACACUGUGAAACUGCGGACGGCUCAUUAAACCAGUGAUAGUUUACUUGAUCGUAUCUUCUUACUUGGAUAACCGUAGGAAAUCUAGAGCUAAUACAUGCAAAAAAUCCGGGCGUCUGACGUUCGGAUGAAUUUAUUAGAUUAAAAAACCAAUGCACCUUCACGGGUGCAGCCCUUGGUGAUUCACAAUAACUGAUCGAAGCGCAGGUUCAGCCGGCGCUGAUACAUACAAGUCUCUGCCCUAUCAACUUUCGAUGGUAGGAUAUUGGCCUACCAUGGUGGUAACGGGUAACAGGGAAUUAGGGUUCGAUCCUGGAGAGGCAGCCUGAGAAACGGCUACCACUUCCAAGGAAGGCAGCAGGCGCGCAACUUACCCAAUCCCGAUACGGGGAGGUAGUGACAAGAAAUACCUUUGAAGGCGUUACAAGCGUUCUUCAUUCGGAAUGAGUACAAUUUAAAAACCUUAACGAGGAACAAUUG